Non-coding RNA from Loxodonta africana (African savanna elephant), 46 nucleotides. The record is from Rfam. Lineage: Eukaryota; Metazoa; Chordata; Mammalia; Proboscidea; Elephantidae.
ACAGAGGUUCUACUUAGAACCAUCUCUUGUAAUAAACUCUAAAACU